CCAUGUUACAUCUGUUUUCAAAUUUGUCUAGCAGGAUUUUUUAUUUUCACCAGAAAGCCCAC
Small nuclear RNA from Oryctolagus cuniculus (rabbit), 62 nucleotides. Its record names the gene U7. It matches the Rfam family "U7 small nuclear RNA". Rfam says of the family: Animal histone pre-mRNAs are spliced by a different mechanism than nuclear pre-mRNAs and self-splicing introns. This processing involves the U7 snRNP, which contains only one RNA species: U7. Lineage: Eukaryota; Metazoa; Chordata; Mammalia; Lagomorpha; Leporidae. The record is from Ensembl.